AGAGUUUCGAGCGCCGCUUCCUGGCGGCGCGCACGCUGCGCUCCUUCCCCUGGCAGGGGGGCGGCGGGCGAGCGGAGAGGCCCGCGGGGCUCGCGGGAGUCCAGGGGCAGACGGGAUGGGUCUCCGUGCUGAAACCCCCGGCGCUCCUGCCACAGCUUAGAAGCAAAGUUAAGAGACUCAUCAGAUUCUGAGCUGCUGCGGGAUAUUUUGCAGAAGACUGUGAAGCAUCCUGUGUGUGUGUGAAGCACCCGCCGUCAGUCAAGAAAGCCCGGUGCUUUCUCUCAGAACUCAUCAAAAAGCCCUCGGGAGGCUCAGUCACACUCUCCGAGAGCACAGCCAUCAUCUCCCAUGGUACCACAGGCCUGGUCACAUGGGAUGCCACCCUCUACCUUGCAGAAUGGGCCAUCGAGAACCCAGCAGCCUUCACUAACAGUAACCUGAAGCUUUCACCGUAGACGUGCUGUAUUGCCCAGAAGCCAUCGUGUCGCUGGUCGGGAUCCUGCGGAGGCUGGCUGCCUGCUGGGAGCACCAGCAGUCUCCUGAGGUCUACGUGGCCUUUACCGUCCACAACCCAGAGACGUGCCAGCUGUUCACCACCGAGCUAGGCCGGGCUGGGAUCAUAUGGGAAGCGGAAGCUCAUCAUGACCAGAAACUGUUUCCCUAUGGAGAGCACUUGGAGAUGGCAAUGCUGAACCUCACACUGUAGGACUCACACACGACUCCAACGGGAUUGUGAGAAUCAAGUCAAUCUCAUGGGAAGAAUUUUUAUAUGGGAAAGCGGAUAAAACUUUCAUUGUACUGGAAUGUUUGGAGAAUGUUAAAUUCCAAAUCAGAAACCACAAACUGCCCUCUAAUAAGACAUCGGCUAUCUAAGCGUG
Homo sapiens (human) is the source of this 878-nucleotide long non-coding RNA. Ensembl annotates it as family with sequence similarity 86 member D, pseudogene. Its record names the gene FAM86DP. NCBI's taxonomy places the organism in Eukaryota, Metazoa, Chordata, Mammalia, Primates, Hominidae. The record is from Ensembl.